AAACCAUGCAUUGGGCAUUUUCACAACAAAUCAUUGAAAUGCUCCAAAGCUUCAUAUACGUUCUCAUCCUCCAUUUUCUUGAAUGAUGUGAGAUCAUUCCUUAGCUU
This is a small nucleolar RNA of Hibiscus syriacus, 107 nucleotides long. Lineage: Eukaryota; Viridiplantae; Streptophyta; Magnoliopsida; Malvales; Malvaceae. The record is from RefSeq and is a predicted model, not a curated record.